RNAcentral lists this ribosomal RNA (244 nucleotides) under Boophis majori. RNAcentral's name for it is "partial 16S ribosomal RNA". It matches the Rfam family "Bacterial large subunit ribosomal RNA", at positions 2332 to 2597 of the family's 2925-position model. Lineage: Eukaryota; Metazoa; Chordata; Amphibia; Anura; Mantellidae. The record is from RNAcentral.
UAAAAAUUAACCUCCACGAAAAAAGGCAUAAAAGCCUUAUCAAAGAAUUACACUUCUAUGAAUUAGUAAACUAAUUUUUGAUGAUCCGAUAUUCGAUCAACGAACCAAGUUACCCUGGGGAUAACAGCGCAAUCCACCUCAAGAGCUCCUAUCGACAAGUGGGUUUACGACCUCGAUGUUGGAUCAGGGUACCCCAGUGGUGCAGCAGCUACUAAAGGUUCGUUUGUUCAACGAUUAAAACCCU